GUCUCACUUUUUGAAAAUAUCAGCGGUGGUCAUGAGCAGUCAUGUAUGCCUGUAUGAUUCCAGCUACUCAGGAGGCUGAGGCAGGAGGAU
Molecule: microRNA precursor, 90 nt
Filed under: Cricetulus griseus (Chinese hamster)
Lineage: Eukaryota; Metazoa; Chordata; Mammalia; Rodentia; Cricetidae
Description: miRNA (ENSCGRG00001004151.1)
Source: RNAcentral